UCCGUAGGUGAACCUGCGGAAGGAUCAUUACCUAGAGUUGUAGGCUUUGCCUGCUAUCUCUUACCCAUGUCUUUUGAGUACUUACGUUUCCUCGGCGGGUCCGCCCGCCGAUUGGACAAUUUAAACCAUUUGCAGUUGCAAUCAGCGUCUGAAAAACUUUAAUAGUUACAACUUUCAACAACGGAUCUCUUGGUUCUGGCAUCGAUGAAGAACGCAGCGAAAUGCGAUAAGUAGUGUGAAUUGCAGAAUUCAGUGAAUCAUCGAAUCUUUGAGCGCACAUUGCGCCCCUUGGUAUUCCAUGGGGCAUGCCUGUUCGAGCGUCAUUUGUACCUUCAAGCUUUGCUUGGUGUUGGGUGUUUGUCUCGCCUUUGCGUGUAGACUCGCCUUAAAACAAUUGGCAGCCGGCGUAUUGAUUUCGGAGCGCAGUACAUCUCGCGCUUUGCACUCAUAACGACGACGUCCAAAAGUACAUUUUUACACUCUUGACCUCGGAUCAGGUAGGGAUACCCGCUGAACUUAAGCAUAUCAAUAAGCGGAGGAAAAGAAAC
This 548-nucleotide ribosomal RNA is filed under the name uncultured fungus. Its description in RNAcentral is "eukaryotic LSU rRNA". The stretch from base 170 to 323 matches the Rfam family "5.8S ribosomal RNA". The record is from RNAcentral. Lineage: Eukaryota; Fungi.